This is a long non-coding RNA of Sinocyclocheilus rhinocerous, 364 nucleotides long. RefSeq lists it as uncharacterized. The record is from RefSeq and is a predicted model, not a curated record. The transcript has 3 exons. Lineage: Eukaryota; Metazoa; Chordata; Actinopteri; Cypriniformes; Cyprinidae.
GUUGCACAAGUAAAAUGUACUAUCGAAGUGUUUAGUAAAGACGAUUAUGUAAGUUUAUGCAGGAAUUGACAUGUAUCUUGAUAGAAAAGUUGGAGGGUUUUGAGAAACUUAAGCUUGAGAAAGUCUGAUCAAGUAAAACCCAUACAGCUCCAUCAUGGACAGUUCACAACGAUUCAGAAAUGAAGAGUUUUCUCCAAGAUGCAGUUCAGUCCUGCAGGAGAGAUCAAAACCAGAGUCCAGCUCUGUGUCAAUGAAGAGUGACCAGUCAAUGGAUGAGCCAAAACAAUUUAAGAGUGGAAACACACAACCUAGUCUCAGGUAUGCAAUUUCUAUUAUAAAUGUUUUAUAGAAUAUAUAUGUGACC